This 213-nucleotide ribosomal RNA is filed under the name uncultured bacterium. RNAcentral describes it as "partial 16S ribosomal RNA". It matches the Rfam family "Bacterial small subunit ribosomal RNA", at positions 524 to 739 of the family's 1533-position model. The record is from RNAcentral.
GACAGAGGGUGCAAACGUUGUUCGGAAUUACUGGGCGUAAAGCGCGUGUAGGCUGUUCGGAAAGUCGGGUGUGAAAGCCCCGGGCUCAACCCGGGAAGUGCACUCGAAACUCCCGAACUGGAGUCCUGGAGAGGAAGGCGGAAUUCUCGGUGUAGAGGUGAAAUUCGUAGAUAUCGAGAGGAACAUCGGUGGCGAAGGCGGCCUUCUGGGACA